GACGAACGCUGGCGGCGUGCUUAACACAUGCAAGUCGAGCGGUAAGGCCCUUUCGGGGGUACACGAGCGGCGAACGGGUGAGUAACACGUGGGUGACCUGCCCUCAGCUCUGGGAUAAGCCUGGGAAACCGGGUCUAAUACUGGAUAUGACUCCAUGACGCAUGUUGUGGGGUGGAAAGCCUUGUGCGGCUGAGGAUGGGCCCGCGGCCUAUCAGCUUGUUGGUGGGGUGAUGGCCUACCAAGGCGACGACGGGUAGCCGGCCUGAGAGGGCGACCGGCCACACUGGGACUGAGACACGGCCCAGACUCCUACGGGAGGCAGCAGUGGGGAAUCUUGCGCAAUGGGACGAAAGCCUGACGCAGCGACGCCGCGUGAGGGA
Molecule: ribosomal RNA, 380 nt
Filed under: uncultured bacterium
Lineage: Bacteria
Description: bacterial SSU rRNA
Rfam family: Bacterial small subunit ribosomal RNA
Source: RNAcentral